This is a ribosomal RNA of Danio rerio (zebrafish), 117 nucleotides long. The record is from Ensembl. Lineage: Eukaryota; Metazoa; Chordata; Actinopteri; Cypriniformes; Danionidae.
GAUAACAGCCAUAUCACCCUGCAGCCCAAGACCAGUUACUCCCUGAAGCUAAGCAGGGCUGAGCCUGGCCAGUACAUGGCUGUGAGACCACAUGGGAAAACUAGGUUGCUGUUGGAA